Molecule: long non-coding RNA, 2109 nt
Organism: Trifolium pratense (red clover)
Lineage: Eukaryota; Viridiplantae; Streptophyta; Magnoliopsida; Fabales; Fabaceae
Exons: 5
Source: RefSeq, a predicted model, not a curated record
ACACAACUUUUUAUAUCUCUUUCUCACGCGGAUAUAGAACCCUAAAAAACAUUCACUAUCUCAGUUCCUCCAUCUCUCUCACUCAGUAUAUCCGUUCAAUCGAAGCAGCUGUUUCCCUUUCCUCUCAAACUUCAUUCGCUCCAAACUCUCUCUCUCUCUCUCUCUCUCACGCGAAUAUCGAACCUUAACUCACUAUCGAAGCAGUCGUUUCUCAGUUCGUAUCAUCCCUCCGUUCAAUCGAAGCAGCUGUUUCCUUUUAGUCGUCCGAAGCCUUCACUUGUUAUUUCUGUUCAGUUCAGUCGCUGUUUCACUCACCGAAGCCUUCAAUCGCAUUUUGCGAAGCUAAUCAAGGCUCACUAAUCCCAAAUCUAAGCUCAUUGAAACGAAUCGAAACACAAACAGGUACUGAUUCUAUAUCUACCAAGGCAAGGCAUUCUUCAGGAAACACUGUCAACGAAGCUAUUCGGUCCAAACGGUGAGAGAUUUGAACACCUUGCAGUUUUGAACUUGGUACAGAACGUGGUUUGUUUAAUCUGGUCAUAUAUAUAAAGUGAUAAAGUUGUGGGGUGGUGGAAAUUCUGGUGGUGCUCCAUGGUGGUCUUACUGGAGUGUUGAUAUUAUAUUACUAAUACUAUUGGUCUUGCUAUGGGAAUUGAAGCUAAUAAUGAUUUGGAUGAAGUUCCUACCUGUUAGAGACAGUUAGCACAUAAUGUGUGAUCUGGGUUUAUAUCAGUUUCUACGUUUCUUUAAUUUGUUUCAGUAUCACAUAGGUAGAGGUCAUAUUAGAGCGUCUAUGAAAGCAAAACUUUAUCACUUGCUAGAGCAUUGAGCUAAGGAAUGCUAAUCAAUUUGAUCAACAUAUAUACUUAUACUAUGAAUUUGUGCUCUUCUGGAUCUCAUGUUUUUAUUUCUACUUGUCCUUGGCAGCUGAUAUUUUUUCAUUCCUUUGUGGAGGGAAAGUGGUUAUACGACAAUGUCCGUUCAAGAGAUCAUCGCAUUUCCGGGACCUCUCAACUAAUUCAGAACAUGGUCUUGAGUACGGACGAUUCAUCGAAAGCAAAUCGUAAAGGAAAGCAAAAAUAGGCAGGAGCUCGCGAAGAAGUUUUCAGCUUGAAAGAGAAAGUUAUCAAAAGUAGGCAGUAGCCAUCAAUGAGUUUUGGUAAGUUGCUUUUUAGUUUUGGGAAUGGGUUCGUGAGAGAUGAGCACUCAUGUUAACAUAGAUUGGUUCUGUAAGUGUGAGAGAGCUUCACUAAUAGGUUUUGUCUUAAACUUGUUAGGGGAAUUGGUUUAGGUUACUCUGGCCUUUGAUUAUUGAUUUGAAAAAACUAAAUCGAAUUUUGAUUAAAGGGGGCUGAUUUUUUGUUAGAUUAAGUUUGUGUCCAAAUUUUCUUAAAUUGUAGAUAUUCAUGAAGAAUUUUGUUGUUAGAUUGUGAUUUUUUUUUUUUUAUGAAUUUACGUUUCUUUUCUUGGUAUAUUAUUCUAAAACCUUAUUGAUCAUCAUUUUAUUGAUUGGAUUGGAUCUAUCUGAGAGUUACUUUUGUCUCUAUGUUUGACCUUUCCUUUUGUUUUUGACAUAUAGCGGGUAAGGGAAUUAGGAUGAACGAGCUCUUGAACCCUAUUGUGAUUGUUAGGACCAAAUAUUUGUUAGUAUUUAAUUAAUAGAUCAAUUGCAUGAAUCCAGCUACAAAAUCAUAAGCUAAGAUCAACUGAGCAUUUGAAAGCAUGUGUAUAGUGUAGUGAAUGACCUUUUCAUUAAGUCUAGAGUAUUAUGGAUACUUUCUGAUUGCGUCUGAAAUCGACAUUAAUUGGUAUAGUGAAUGAUAUUUUAUUAAAAUAAAAGUGUGACAAAGGUUGUGGCUAGAGUAUUUGAGUCUUUGUUGAUAGGUUAGCCUGUAUAUUGUUUGUUGGCAGUUGUGUUUUUUGAGUACUCCUGGAAGUUGUUUUUGUUAAGAACGUGAAUGUUGUGGAAUUUGUAGUCACAUGUUCUUGAUUUUUAAUUUUGAAUGGUGUGUGUUAUAGGUUUAUUUGCAAGUUAUGAUUUGGAUGCUGACAUGUGGGUUAAAAAAAAAUGCUGGAGUAAGAACAAAAACACUUUUUAAAAAAAAAAAG